This 253-nucleotide ribosomal RNA is filed under the name uncultured bacterium. RNAcentral's name for it is "partial 16S ribosomal RNA". It matches the Rfam family "Bacterial small subunit ribosomal RNA", at positions 524 to 776 of the family's 1533-position model. The record is from RNAcentral.
UACGUAGGUGGCAAGCGUUGUCCGGAUUUAUUGGGUUUAAAGGGUGCGUAGGCGGUCUAUUAAGUCAGUGCUGAAAUAUCCCGGCUUAACCGGGAGGGUGGCAUUGAUACUGAUGGACUUGAGUAGAGUCGAGGUAGGCGGAAUUGACGGUGUAGCGGUGAAAUGCUUAGAUAUCGUCAAGAACACCGAUAGUGUAGACAGCUUACUAGGCUCAAACUGACGCUGAGGCACGAAAGUGUGGGGAUCAAACAGG